GAUGAACGCUGGCGGCGUGCCUAAUACAUGCAAGUCGAACGCUGAAGCUUGGUGCUUGCACCGAGCGGAUGAGUCGCGAACGGGUGAGUCACGCGUAUGUAACCUGCCUCUUAGCGGGGGAUCACUAUUGGAAACGAUAGCUAAUACCGCAUAAAAGCCUGUAUCGCAUGAUAUUGAUUUGAAUGUUGCAAAUGGAUCACUAAGAGACGGACUUUCGUUGUUUUAGCUAGUUGGUGAGGUAACGGCUCACCAAGGCGACGAGACAUAGCCGACCUGAGAGGGUGGUCAGCCACACUGGGACUGAGACACGGCCCAGACGCCUACGGGAGGGAGCAGUAGGGAAUCGUCGGGAAUGGGGGCGAACCUGACCGAGCAACGCCGCGUGAGUGAAGAAGGUUGUCGGAUCGUAAAGGUCUGUUGUAAGAGAAGAACGAGUGUGAGAGUGGAAAGUUCACACUGUGACGGUAACUGACCAGAAAGGGACGGCUAACUACGUG
Molecule: ribosomal RNA, 497 nt
Filed under: uncultured bacterium
Lineage: Bacteria
Description: partial 16S ribosomal RNA
Rfam family: Bacterial small subunit ribosomal RNA
Source: RNAcentral